Molecule: transfer RNA, 74 nt
Filed under: Syntrophobacteraceae bacterium
Lineage: Bacteria; Pseudomonadati; Thermodesulfobacteriota; Syntrophobacteria; Syntrophobacterales; Syntrophobacteraceae
Description: tRNA-Glu
Rfam family: tRNA
About the family: Transfer RNA (tRNA) molecules are approximately 80 nucleotides in length.
Source: RNAcentral
GGUCCCAUCGUCCAAUCGGUCAGGACACCGGCCCUUCAAGCCGGGAAUGCGGGGUUCGAGUCCCCCUGGGAUCA